CCUGAGAAACCCAAAAGAUCGAAUGGGGAGAUUCAUCGUCAGCUCAUUUUGUAUAUGUAUAAGUUAUGAUGCGGGUUACUACUUGUAGUAUUGCCUGCACAUUCUUGUAUAUUUAGUUGCAAGAUGUUGUCGGCGUGCACUUCUCCCCUAGUAGGACGUCGCGACCUGUUGGGUAUCGGUCUACGGCCCAAGUGAUAGACUUUAAUGUAAUUUAAAAAGCAUUAAAGAUCCUUGGUGUUUUCUGACCGGUUACUUGGCAGUAUUCGUACGGUAUUUAGCCGCUAAAUUUAUUAAGCGUCCAUGUCUUUCACAAGCGAGGCUAAUCUACUGAUAGUACGGACCAAGUGCCGUCGUUGGUAUUGGCCAGCUGUUGGUUGUAUAGUAUUCUAGGACUGGCUAAAAUUAAUUACCGGUCGGCGAUGCUACUGCUUUGGGUACUUUCAG
RNAcentral lists this ribosomal RNA (444 nucleotides) under Aleiodes scottshawi. Its description in RNAcentral is "LSU rRNA". The record is from RNAcentral. Lineage: Eukaryota; Metazoa; Arthropoda; Insecta; Hymenoptera; Braconidae.